This 253-nucleotide ribosomal RNA is filed under the name uncultured bacterium. RNAcentral describes it as "partial 16S ribosomal RNA". It matches the Rfam family "Bacterial small subunit ribosomal RNA", at positions 524 to 776 of the family's 1533-position model. The record is from RNAcentral.
UACGAAGGGGGCUAGCGUUGUUCGGAUUUACUGGGCGUAAAGCGCACGUAGGCGGAUCGUUAAGUCAGGGGUGAAAUCCUGGGGCUCAACCCCAGAACUGCCUUUGAUACUGGCGAUCUCGAGUCCGGAAGAGGUGAGUGGAACUCCUAGUGUAGAGGUGGAAUUCGUAGAUAUUAGGAAGAACACCAGUGGCGAAGGCGGCUCACUGGUCCGGUACUGACGCUGAGGUGCGAAAGCGUGGGGAGCAAACAGG